AGAGUUUGAUCCUGGCUCAGGACGAACGCUGGCGGCGUGCCUAACACAUGCAAGUCGAGCGAUGAAGCCCUUCGGGGUGGAUUAGCGGCGGACGGGUGAGUAACACGUGGGUAACCUACCUCAAAGAGGGGGAUAGCCUCCCGAAAGGGAGAUUAAUACCGCAUAACAUUAGUUUUUCGCAUGAAGAACUAAUUAAAGGAGUAAUCCGCUUUGAGAUGGACCCGCGGCGCAUUAGCUAGUUGGUGAGGUAAAGGCUCACCAAGGCGACGAUGCGUAGCCGACCUGAGAGGGUGAUCGGCCACAUUGGAACUGAGAUACGGUCCAGACUCCUACGGGAGGCAGCAGUGGGGAAUAUUGCACAAUGGGCGAAAGCCUGAUGCAGCAACGCCGCGUGAGUGAUGAAGGCCUUCGGGUUGUAAAGCUCUGUCUU
Molecule: ribosomal RNA, 430 nt
Filed under: uncultured bacterium
Lineage: Bacteria
Description: bacterial SSU rRNA
Rfam family: Bacterial small subunit ribosomal RNA
Source: RNAcentral